CACGACUGGGGGGGGGGUAACGGCCGGGAUUGGAUACAGAAACCAGAAACCCCGCCUCCAGGCCGCAACAGAUAUCUGCUCCCUCCCCUCCUCGGUCUGCACCCAGGCAGCCCAUGCUCAGAGGCAGCCAGACAGACAGGCAGCACCACAGCAGCGAAGCUUGGGUGUAGAGCCCGCUGGUGCUGGGCAGCAGAUCCUGACUCCAAUGCCUCCUCAUCUCCCGAGCCGAGACAGAUCAGCCUCCGCCUCCAGCUCAGGGACCUGCGGCACUGUGGUGCAAUGAAGGGGCAUGCAGCAGUACUGUCAGCGCAGUACUAGCAGGAGGAGGCGGUCCAGCCAAUCCAGCCCCUCCUCUCACCUUUUCUUCCUAUCUCUACCGCUGUUGCCCAAUGUCACGAUCCCACAAAAACCAGAAGAGCGGACCUGCUGCUGCUGUUGCUGAAAGAGGACCCGUUGGUACACAGUGCCGCAUGUACUUAAGGGGACGACGACACGCAGUGACACUUGUAUCGGAGAAGUGAAACUACAUUCAACAGUUCACAGAAAAGCUGUUAUAGUAAACAUGUCCUAUCUGCACUUUGAAGAGUUUCACAUACUGUACAACAGGGCGUUGGUUACUAGAUAAUAUAAAUUCAAACGUUGUGUCUUGAAUAUCCAGUUCUUUCAAUGUGAUUAAGUCUGCAAAAAAUAAGGAGCAAAAAGGAGAAAUUCCAAAAUUCCCAAUUAUUCAGAUUUUAGACUCUCCACCUCUCUACAAAACUUCAAACGGGCUCUCAAGACCCACUUCUUCACCAAACCCAGCCCAAUCUCAUCCUAACCCUCUGUUCUACGCUCUCUAUGUACCCCAUCUGUGUCACCCCUGUCUGUCUACCACUCCCCUUUAGAAAUGGUUUGUUUGGGGUUUACUGGGCGCUUCAAUAGACUUUAUAGCGGCCUCGUUACUUCUAAAGGACUUAUCCCAGACAGUCCAAAUACUUGUGAGA
Pseudophryne corroboree (corroboree frog) is the source of this 983-nucleotide long non-coding RNA. RefSeq lists it as uncharacterized. Lineage: Eukaryota; Metazoa; Chordata; Amphibia; Anura; Myobatrachidae. The transcript is spliced from 4 exons. The record is from RefSeq and is a predicted model, not a curated record.